Myxocyprinus asiaticus (Chinese sucker) is the source of this 184-nucleotide small nuclear RNA. RefSeq annotates it as U2 spliceosomal RNA. The transcript has a single exon. Lineage: Eukaryota; Metazoa; Chordata; Actinopteri; Cypriniformes; Catostomidae. The record is from RefSeq and is a predicted model, not a curated record.
AUCUGUUUUUAAAUAAAAUAAAAUAAAAAAAAUCUGUUCUUAUCAGUUUAACAUCUGAUACGUCCCCUAUCCGGGGACCAUAUAUUAAUAGAUUUUUGGGCCUGGGAGAUGGAAGCGGGGCUUACUCCGUCCACUCCACGUAUCGACUUGGUAUUGCAGUUUCUCCAGGCACGGUGCGCUCCCC